Molecule: ribosomal RNA, 394 nt
Filed under: uncultured bacterium
Lineage: Bacteria
Description: partial 16S ribosomal RNA
Rfam family: Bacterial small subunit ribosomal RNA
Source: RNAcentral
ANGNNCNACNGCCUUCNNNUUGUAAACCUCUUUUAGUAGGGAAGAAGCGAAAGUGACGGUACCUGCAGAAAAAGCACCGNCUAACUACGUGCCAGCAGCCGCGGUAAUACGUAGGGUGCAAGCGUUGUCCGGAAUUAUUGGGCGUAAAGAGCACGUAGGCGGUUUGUCGCGUCUGCUGUGAAAACCCGAGGCUCAACCUCGGGCCUGCAGUGGGUACGGGCAAACUAGAGUGCGGUAGGGGAGAAUGGAAUUCCUGGUGUAGCGGUGGAAUGCGCAGAUAUCAGGAGGAACACCGAUGGCGAAGGCAGUUCUCUGGGCCGUAACUGACGCUGAGGAGCGAAAGCGUGGGGAGCGAACAGGAUUAGAUACCCUGGUAGUCCAAGGGCGAAUUCGU